UGGUAGCUCAACGGAUAGAGCAACAGCCUCCUAAGCUGUAGGUUGAGGGUUCGAUUCUCUUCUGG
Molecule: transfer RNA, 65 nt
Filed under: pig gut metagenome
Rfam family: tRNA
About the family: Transfer RNA (tRNA) molecules are approximately 80 nucleotides in length. Their secondary structure includes four short double-helical elements and three loops (D, anti-codon, and T loops). Further hydrogen bonds mediate the characteristic L-shaped molecular structure. tRNAs have two regions of fundamental functional importance: the anti-codon, which is responsible for specific mRNA codon recognition, and the 3' end, to which the tRNAs corresponding amino acid is attached (by aminoacyl-tRNA synthetases). tRNAs cope with the degeneracy of the genetic code in two manners: having more than one tRNA (with a specific anti-codon) for a particular amino acid; and 'wobble' base-pairing, i.e. permitting non-standard base-pairing at the 3rd anti-codon position.
Source: RNAcentral